GGAUGUGAGGGCCAGCUGACUGGCACACCAGUCACCCUAGUGAUCAUCAAAGUUGACCUGGCUGACAAGGCAGGUGACCACUUCCGUCCCACCACUCCAUGUGUGUGCCUUCUUUUCUGCUUUUGCACACUCUUGGUUCCCCAGGCCCCAAGCUCUCUUUCCUCUGAGGGAC
This 172-nucleotide small nuclear RNA is filed under the name Bos taurus (domestic cattle). Its description in RNAcentral is "7SK RNA". It matches the Rfam family "7SK RNA", at positions 1 to 170 of the family's 331-position model. Rfam says of the family: 7SK was discovered as an abundant small nuclear RNA in the mid-70s but a possible function has only recently been suggested. Two independent studies have found that 7SK RNA binds the CDK9/cyclin T complex (known as elongation factor P-TEFb). Lineage: Eukaryota; Metazoa; Chordata; Mammalia; Artiodactyla; Bovidae. The record is from Rfam by way of RNAcentral. RNAcentral also lists the same sequence under 1 other name.